AAGUCGUAACAAGGUUUCCGUAGGUGAACCUGCGGAAGGAUCAUUACAGAUGGAGGAGAGUGGGAGUUGCGUGGGGGGUCGGCUAGCUAAACAGCAUGCUGCGAGGCAGCUGAACAGCGUGCUGCGACUCGUCCAUGCACGCCCACAACAUUUGCUCGGGUUGGGGGUGAUUGAAGUGCGGGUGUACUCGCUGCAGUGUACUCGCGUCAAUCUAUCUACCAACCAGAGACAUUCACGCGUGUUGUGUGUGACUGUGUAGUAUAUACUGUUCUAUUAUAGACAACUUUUAACAAUGGAUCUCUUGGCUCUU
Molecule: unclassified non-coding RNA, 310 nt
Filed under: fungal sp.
Lineage: Eukaryota; Fungi
Description: partial internal transcribed spacer region
Rfam family: Eukaryotic small subunit ribosomal RNA (bases 1-46)
Source: RNAcentral